UACGUAGGAUGCAAGCGUUAUCCGGAAUUAUUGGGCGUAAAGCGAACGUAGGCGGUUCUGUAAGUCUGGGGUUAAAGACCAAGGCUCAACCUUGGGAGUGCCCUGGAAACUACAGGACUGGAGGACGGCAGAGGAAAGUGGAAUUCCCAGUGUAGCGGUGAAAUGCGUAGAGAUUGGGAGGAACACCAGUGGCGAAAGCGACUUUCUGGGCCGUUCCUGACGCUGAGGUUCGAAAGCCAGGGGAGCAAACGGG
Molecule: ribosomal RNA, 253 nt
Filed under: uncultured bacterium
Lineage: Bacteria
Description: partial 16S ribosomal RNA
Rfam family: Bacterial small subunit ribosomal RNA
Source: RNAcentral